CCUACGGGUGGCUGCAGUGGGGGAUAUUGCACAAUGGGGGAAACCCUGAUGCAGCGACGCCGCGUGUGGGAAGACGGUCCUCUGGAUUGUAAACCACUGUCCCCAGGGACGAAGAUGACGGUACCUGGGGCGGAAGCUCCGGCUAACUACGUGCCAGCAGCCGCGGUAAUACGUAGGGAGGGAGCGUUGUCCGGAAUUACGGGGUGAAAGGGGAUCGUAGGGGGGGAUGGAAUUUGGGUUUCAAACCUACCGGCUAAACUGGUAGUCGCACCCAAGACUGCAGCCCUUGAGUGAAGUAGAGGCAGGCAGAAUUCCUAGUGUAGCGGUGAAAUGCGUAGAGAUUAGGAGGAAUACCAGUGGCGAAGGCGGCCUGCUGGGCAUUUACUGACGCUGAGGCUCGAAAGUGUGGGGAGCAAACAGGAUUAGAUACCCUUGUAGUC
Molecule: ribosomal RNA, 440 nt
Filed under: uncultured bacterium
Lineage: Bacteria
Description: partial 16S ribosomal RNA
Rfam family: Bacterial small subunit ribosomal RNA
Source: RNAcentral